UAUAUUCUGAAGUGUUGGCUAGCAGAUGUUUAUUCCCUGAGCCGAUAAUGCUUUACCAGGAUGUGGUACCUAUUGCUUCAUUGUGUAUGCCUGCACCGCUUGCGGUGUAUCAGGAAACCUGCCGAGGCAGUGACGCAUCCGCCCUGAACUUCACGGUUCAUGGGUCACCAUCUUGCGGCGGCACUUCGGUUGUUAU
Molecule: non-coding RNA, 196 nt
Organism: Psychrobacter arcticus 273-4
Lineage: Bacteria; Pseudomonadati; Pseudomonadota; Gammaproteobacteria; Moraxellales; Moraxellaceae
Rfam family: 6S / SsrS RNA
About the family: E. coli 6S RNA was the first non coding RNA to be sequenced, but its function was unknown until recently. It consists of 184 nucleotides that fold into an extended hairpin structure with a large single-stranded internal bulge. The 6S RNA specifically associates with RNA polymerase holoenzyme containing the sigma70 specificity factor.
Source: Rfam